Molecule: ribosomal RNA, 253 nt
Filed under: uncultured Wautersiella sp.
Lineage: Bacteria; Pseudomonadati; Bacteroidota; Flavobacteriia; Flavobacteriales; Weeksellaceae
Description: partial 16S ribosomal RNA
Rfam family: Bacterial small subunit ribosomal RNA
Source: RNAcentral
UACGGAGGGUGCAAGCGUUAUCCGGAUUUAUUGGGUUUAAAGGGUCCGUAGGCGGAUUAAUAAGUCAGUGGUGAAAGCCCAUCGCUUAACGAUGGAACUGCCAUUGAUACUGUUAGUCUUGAGUGAGGUUGCAGUGGCUGGAAUGUGUAGUGUAGCGGUGAAAUGCGUAGAUAUUACGCAGAACACCGAUUGCGAAGGCAGGUCACUAAGCCUCAACUGACGCUGAGGGACGAAAGCGUGGGGAGCGAACAGG